CUGGGUGACUUUGAGUGAGUCCUUUUCCCAUCCUGGGCCUGAGAGAUAAAAGGCUUGAAUUCCGUAUUGCCACAGCAUCAUGCUCCAAUCAUGAGAAAUAACUCAGUGAUGCGUGUGUGGAGGGGGAGGGCCCGUGCAUAUGUGAUAGAGAGAGAGAGGUGGGGGGGAUUCCUCCAAGCACACAUGGGCCCAUUUAACCAGAUUCUGCUUCACCUUCUUUUCUUUAAUCCCCAGAGAUGUGGCUUGCUCAGUGAACUGCCACUAAGUGCUCCCUAGGCACCCACUGGUGUCAGGUCCUCUGCUGGGGCCUACAGACGGGUCCCUUCCUUGAAGGGCUCAUGCCUGACGAUCAUUAGCAAAGCCUUCCUGUGUCUAAAGGAUCGCUUACUCCCUGUUUGCUCAGAGCUCAGGAGGCACAGCCUCACUAGAAGGUUUGGAAAGCACCCUGCGGUGGAAGGUGGCCCUGCCAGCCCCUCUGCAAAAGGGGGCAUAGGCACACAAUUUUGCACAUCGUUUCCAGGGGCUCAAGGAUGUCCCUCACCAGCCCAUCUCCUUUGAGGAACCCUCAAUGUGAUUCAACUCCGGGGUUUUGCAGAUGAGGAAACUGAGGCAGAGAAAGAAUGUGCCUUGCCGAAGAAUGAGAAUAUCUGAGCUGUGCAAGCAAAUGGUAUGGGCCAGCAUCUAGAACUGCAGCUCAGGAAGGAGAACUCAAGCAGAGCUGAAAAGCCUAUGAGGAAGACAGAUGGCAAGAGGAGUCGGCUGAAUAGCGGCACCCAAAGACAGCAGGUCCUAAUCCUGGAGCUGUAAAUGUGACCUCAUUUGGAGAAAAAAAAAAAAAAGUCUUUGCAGAUGUGAUUAAGUUAGAGAAUCUGAGAUGGGGAGAUUAUCCUGGAUGAUCAGGGUGUGUCCUAAAUGCAAUCACAAGUGUCCUUACAAGAGACGGGCAGAGGGAAAUUUGACACACAGAAGAGAGACAGUGAUGGGAAUUGAGAAAGAUCUGAAGAUGCUGAUAUUGAAGAUCGGAGUGAUGAGGCCACAAGCCAAAGGAUGCUAGCAGCUCCCAGAAUCUGGAAGAAGUGAGAAUAAAUUUUCCUCUAAAGCCUCCAGAGGAAGCACAGCCCUGCCGGCUCCUUGAUUUUAGCCCAGUGAUGCUGAUUUUUGACUUCUGUCCUCCAGAACUGUGAAAUAAACCUCUGUUGUUUUAAGCCACCAAGUUUGGGGUGAUUUGUUACAGCAGCCACAGGAAAACCAGCCAGUAUAGUGGCUCGUGAGGCCCAUUUUACUUUUGAGGAAAUACAGACCCAGAGAGCAGCAGUGAUUUGCACAGAGCCACACAGCACAUUAGCCCCUUUGGCCGAGGCCAGACCAGGUUAACAGACCCUGAACCACUGCGCUCCUGCUUCCAUCUGCCCCGCCUCCUCCUGGCCAUGCUGGGACUGCUGGGAGGUCUUAGACCUGAGAUGCCUCUAGUUUCCACAGUGGUGUGUAGUUGCCCCCAGGCGAAUCUUGCUGGUGCCAAGCCCCAACCUGUGGCCACCAUUGCCCUCAACCAGGAUGCGCUCC
This 1563-nucleotide long non-coding RNA is filed under the name Homo sapiens (human). RNAcentral's name for it is "HSALNT0222197". The record is from RNAcentral. Lineage: Eukaryota; Metazoa; Chordata; Mammalia; Primates; Hominidae.